GUUGAUAGGCUGGGUGUGGAAGCGCAGUAAUGCGUGCAGCUAACCAGUACUAAUUGACCGUGAGGCUUGACCAU
This 74-nucleotide ribosomal RNA is filed under the name Gammaproteobacteria bacterium. RNAcentral describes it as "partial 23S ribosomal RNA". It matches the Rfam family "Bacterial large subunit ribosomal RNA", at positions 2852 to 2925 of the family's 2925-position model. Lineage: Bacteria; Pseudomonadati; Pseudomonadota; Gammaproteobacteria. The record is from RNAcentral.